UACAGAGGUCUCGAGCGUUAGGCGGAAUCACUGGGCUUAAAGCGUGUGUAGGUGGAUGCCUAAGUACCUUGUGAAAUCCCACGGCUUAACCGUGGAACUGCUUGGUAUACUGGGUGUCUUGAGUCACUCAGGGGCGAGCGGAACAAAUGGUGGAGCGGUGAAAUGCGUAGAUAUCACUUGGAACGCCAAUGGUGAAAACAGCUCGCUGGGGGUGCACUGACACUGAGACACGAAAGCCAGGGGAGCGAACGGG
This 253-nucleotide ribosomal RNA is filed under the name uncultured bacterium. Its description in RNAcentral is "partial 16S ribosomal RNA". It matches the Rfam family "Bacterial small subunit ribosomal RNA", at positions 524 to 776 of the family's 1533-position model. The record is from RNAcentral.